RNAcentral lists this transfer RNA (78 nucleotides) under Loxodonta africana (African savanna elephant). It matches the Rfam family "tRNA". Rfam says of the family: Transfer RNA (tRNA) molecules are approximately 80 nucleotides in length. Their secondary structure includes four short double-helical elements and three loops (D, anti-codon, and T loops). Further hydrogen bonds mediate the characteristic L-shaped molecular structure. tRNAs have two regions of fundamental functional importance: the anti-codon, which is responsible for specific mRNA codon recognition, and the 3' end, to which the tRNAs corresponding amino acid is attached (by aminoacyl-tRNA synthetases). tRNAs cope with the degeneracy of the genetic code in two manners: having more than one tRNA (with a specific anti-codon) for a particular amino acid; and 'wobble' base-pairing, i.e. permitting non-standard base-pairing at the 3rd anti-codon position. Lineage: Eukaryota; Metazoa; Chordata; Mammalia; Proboscidea; Elephantidae. The record is from Rfam by way of RNAcentral.
GCAUUGGUGGUUCACUGGUAGAAUUCUUACCCUCUUUUUUUUAUGCAGGAGAUCCAGGUUCGAUUCCCGAUCAAUGCA